GAUGAACGCUAGCGGGAGGCUUAACACAUGCAAGUCGAGGGGUAAAUGGUAGCAAUACUAUGAGACCGGCGGACGGGUGCGUAACGCGUAUGCAACAUACCUUUAGCAGGGGGAUAGCCCGUGGAAACGCGGAUUAAUAUUCCAUAGUCCAGCAGUAUCGCAUGGUACCACUGGUAAAGAUUAAUCGGCUAAAGAUUGGCAUGCGUCUGAUUAGUUAGUUGGUAGGGUAACGGCCUACCAAGGCGACGAUCAGUAGGGGUUCUGAGAGGAUUACCCCCCACACUGGUACUGAGACACGGACCAGACUCCUACGGGAGGCAGCAGUGAGGAAUAUUGGUCAAUGGGCGGAAGCCUGAACCAGCCAUCCCGCGUGAAGGAAGACAGCCUUACGGGUUGUAAACUUCUUUUCUGUUUGAAGAAUAAGCCCGUUGAGACGGGUGAUGCCGGUAGGACAGGAAUAAGCAUCGGCUAACUCCGUG
RNAcentral lists this ribosomal RNA (479 nucleotides) under uncultured bacterium. Its description in RNAcentral is "bacterial SSU rRNA". It matches the Rfam family "Bacterial small subunit ribosomal RNA", at positions 28 to 507 of the family's 1533-position model. The record is from RNAcentral.